This 422-nucleotide long non-coding RNA is filed under the name Physcomitrium patens. RNAcentral's name for it is "long non-coding RNA (PPAT_LNC004293)". The record is from RNAcentral. Lineage: Eukaryota; Viridiplantae; Streptophyta; Bryopsida; Funariales; Funariaceae.
AACUUUAAUAAGACCAUAACAAUGUUAAACAAGCUUUAAUCAAAUUCUAAGAAACCUCAAAGGAAUUACAAAGAAACAAUAAGAAAUCUUAAAAGAAAUAUUAGAAUGAUCACAAAUAUAUCUCAAAUACAUCUUCAUUCAAUCUUAAUUUAAUCCUAGUUGAAAUCCUAUUGGACUUCAUUCAAACUUUAGGCCAAAAACUAACUAAAUCUUAAAUCUCAAACAAACCUUAAUAAAAUUCUAAAUCCUAAAUCAAAUCCUAAUCAAAUCCUAAAUCAAACCUUAAUCAAAUCCUAACCAAAUCUUAAAUCCUAAAUCAAAUCCUUAAUCCUAAACCAAAUCCUAACCAAAUCUUAAAUCCUAAAUCAAAUUCUAAAUCCUAAACCAAAUCCUAACCAAAUCUUAAAUCUUAAACCAAAUCC